This 59-nucleotide microRNA precursor is filed under the name Bactrocera dorsalis (oriental fruit fly). Its description in RNAcentral is "microRNA bdo-mir-315 precursor". Its record names the gene bdo-mir-315. It matches the Rfam family "mir-315 microRNA precursor family", at positions 12 to 74 of the family's 83-position model. The record is from miRBase by way of RNAcentral. Lineage: Eukaryota; Metazoa; Arthropoda; Insecta; Diptera; Tephritidae.
UUUUGAUUGUUGCUCAGAAAGCCCUUUAUUUGAGCAGGCUUUCGAGCAAUAAUUAAAAC